This 433-nucleotide ribosomal RNA is filed under the name uncultured bacterium. RNAcentral's name for it is "partial 16S ribosomal RNA". It matches the Rfam family "Bacterial small subunit ribosomal RNA", at positions 29 to 507 of the family's 1533-position model. The record is from RNAcentral.
AACGAACGCUGGCGGCAGGCCUAACACAUGCAAGUCGAGCGGACCCUUCGGGGUUAGCGGCGGACGGGUGAGUAACGCGUGGGAAUAUGCCCUUCUCUACGGAAUAGUCCUGGGAAACUGGGGGUAAUACCGUAUACGCCCUUUGGGGGAAAGAUUUAUCGGGGAAGGAUUAGCCCGCGUUGGAUUAGGUAGUUGGUGGGGUAAUGGCCUACCAAGCCGACGAUCCAUAGCUGGUUUGAGAGGAUGAUCAGCCACACUGGGACUGAGACACGGCCCAGAAUCCUACGGGAGGGAGCAGUGGGGGAUCUUAGACAAUGGGGGCAACCCUGAACGAGCCAGGACGGGUGAGUGAUGAAGGCAUUAGGGUUGUAAAGCGCUUUCAGCUGGGAAGAUAAUGACGGUACCAGCAGAAGAAGCCCCGGCUAACUCCGUG